CAUCAGCAGUCAAGAAUAUUAGUCAAUGCUCGCAAGAGUGAACUAGCUAACUGAAAUCAUAGGAUCCACUACGUGUGGUGAAUGUAAUAACGUAAGGGAAAAAAAUGAUAUUWCCUUACUAUUAGUGUUGUCCAAAACUGGUGCCAGAAGACUCGGUAAGGCCAGAGACGCAAACGUUAGUCGUCCUAAUCAGGCGUAAAGGGUAUGUAGGCUGUUUUAAAAGUUUUAUAUUAAUAGCUAAUGUAUAAAUAUCUAUUUAUUUCAAAUUAAAUAAAAAAAAUAUUUUAUACAUACAAAUAUAAGAUGAAUUAAAGCUAGGAUCAAAUGGAGGAUAAGUCAAAUAAUACCUAGUGUAGGGUUUAAAUCUGUUGAUGUUAGGUAGAGUACUAACGGUGAAAGCUUUUUAUCUAGAAAUGAUUGACGCUGAGAAACGAAGGUGAGAAUAGGAAAUAGGAUUAGAUMCCCAGAUACCUCUCACAGUCAACGAUGAAUGGUGGUUGUUAGUUAGUUUUAUUUA
RNAcentral lists this ribosomal RNA (517 nucleotides) under Entoloma dragonosporum. RNAcentral's name for it is "partial small subunit ribosomal RNA". It matches the Rfam family "Bacterial small subunit ribosomal RNA", at positions 346 to 839 of the family's 1533-position model. The record is from RNAcentral. Lineage: Eukaryota; Fungi; Basidiomycota; Agaricomycetes; Agaricales; Entolomataceae.